GCAGCUGGUACCUGGGAUCGGGCAGGACGGUCCUCUUGCUGGCGCGGGCGGCCGGAGUCGCCUUGCUCUUCUCCAUGGCCAUCAGGUAAUGAUGAAGCCCCUGCUCUGGUCCAAGCUACCUGUGAACAGCGCCCAGCGGGCCGGGCCCCCAACCUCGCUCCUGAACGUACCCGCAAGCCCGCCGUGAGAAUUCAGCGAAGAGUAAAGGCUGGAGAAAGUUGCGUGUCUCAGGCUAAGCAGAGCAAAGUGGGGUGAGGGCUUCGCCGCUAGGAACAGAGAUGCCCUUAGGGAGCCCCCUGAUGGAAGAGCUCUCUGCUUAAGAAGGUCAGCACGCCCUUACACUCAGGAAAAGUGGAAAUGAGGCCUUUUACCCCAGGGUUGUUGAGAAGACAGGGGAGAAAAAGCACAUAAAAAUGCACCUUGUCGGGCGCAGUGGCUCACACCUGUAAUCCUGCACUUUGGGAGUCUGAGGCAGGUGGAUCGCUUGAGGCCAGGAGUUCAAGACCAGCCUGGCCAACAUGAAAAAUACAUUAAAAAUAAUGUCUCUAUUAAAAAUACAAAAAUUAGCCAGGCAUGGUGGUGCACGCCUGUAACCCAGCUACUCAGGAGGCUGAGGCACAAGAAUCGCUUGAACCCAGGAAGUAGAAGCUACAGUGAGUCGAGAUUGCACCACUGCACGCCAGCCUGGGUGAAAGAGUGAGACCCUGUCUGAAAAAAAAAAAAAAAAAAAAGCAUUUUGCCUGGCACCCAGUAGAUCCUCAAUAAAGGUCAUGUCACUUC
This 780-nucleotide long non-coding RNA is filed under the name Homo sapiens (human). Its description in RNAcentral is "uncharacterized LOC105372969, transcript variant 2 (LOC105372969)". Lineage: Eukaryota; Metazoa; Chordata; Mammalia; Primates; Hominidae. The record is from RNAcentral.